RNAcentral lists this ribosomal RNA (497 nucleotides) under uncultured bacterium. RNAcentral's name for it is "bacterial SSU rRNA". It matches the Rfam family "Bacterial small subunit ribosomal RNA", at positions 899 to 1397 of the family's 1533-position model. The record is from RNAcentral.
ACUCAAAGGAAUUGACGGGGGCCCGCACAAGCGGUGGAGCAUGUGGUUUAAUUCGACGCAACGCGAAGAACCUUACCAGGCCUUGACAUCCUCGCGAAAGCCCGGGAGACCGGGCCGCCUUUCGGGGCGCGAGGACAGGUGGUGCAUGGUUGUCGUCAGCUCGUGUCGUGAGAUGUUGGGUUAAGUCCCGCAACGAGCGCAACCCUUGUCGUUAGUUGCCAGCAUUAACGGUGGGCACUCUAAUGAGACUGCCGGUGACAAACCGGAGGAAGGUGGGGAUGACGUCAAAUCAUCAUGCCCUUUAUGGCCUGGGCUACACACGUGCUACAAUGGCCAGUACAGAGGGAAGCCAAGGAGCGAUCUGGAGCAAAUCCCAAAAAGCUGGUCCCAGUUCGGAUUGCAGGCUGCAACUCGCCUGCAUGAAGUCGGAAUCGCUAGUAAUCGCAGAUCAGAAUGCUGCGGUGAAUACGUUCCCGGGCCUUGUACACACCGCCCGU